CCUGAUCCAGCCAUGCCGCGUGAGUGAAGAAGGCCUUCGGGUUGUAAAGCUCUUUCGGCGGGGGACGAAACGGUCCCGUGCCAACACCACGGACUAAUGACGGUACUCGCAGAAGAAGCACCGGCUAACUACGUGCCAGCAGCCGCGGUAAUACGUAGGGUGCGGGCGUUAAUCGGAAUUACUGGGCGUAAAGCGUGCGCAGGCGGCUCCUUAAGUCAGAUGUGAAAUCCCCGGGCUUAACCUGGGAACUGCGUUUGAAACUGAGGGGCUUGAGUGUGGAAGAGGGGGGUGGAAUUCCAGGUGUAGCAGUGAAAUGCGUAGAGAUCUGGAGGAACACCGAUGGCGAAGGCAGCCCCCUGGGCUAACACUGACGCUCAUGCACGAAAGCGUGGGGAGCAAACAGGAUUAGAUACCCUGGUAGUCCACGCCCUAAACGAUGUCAACGGGUUGUCGGGGAAGCAAUUCCUUGGUAACGAAGCUAACGCGUGAAGUUGACCGCCUGGGGAGUACGGCCGCAAGGUUA
This 523-nucleotide ribosomal RNA is filed under the name uncultured Pseudomonadota bacterium. Its description in RNAcentral is "bacterial SSU rRNA". It matches the Rfam family "Bacterial small subunit ribosomal RNA", at positions 382 to 896 of the family's 1533-position model. The record is from RNAcentral. Lineage: Bacteria; Pseudomonadati; Pseudomonadota.